UUUUGAGGUUCAUCUCUUCUGCUUUGGGA
Molecule: non-coding RNA, 29 nt
Filed under: Rattus norvegicus (Norway rat)
Lineage: Eukaryota; Metazoa; Chordata; Mammalia; Rodentia; Muridae
Source: RNAcentral